UUAAGACUAUUGUGCAUGCAUAUAUUUUAUUGUUUAUAUUGUUAGGGCAUGAAAUAUGAAACCAGGAAAAGCUUAGCUACCGUUUGGUUCGAAGUUAAGGAAAAACCAGUUAUUUCAGGAAUAGGGUUAAGUUCAGAGUUAAGGUGGGAUUAGAGUAUUUUUGUGUUUGGUUGGGGGUUGGAGUUAGUCGAGGAUAGUGAAAAAUAGUGUUUGGUUGGAGUAGGUGGGAUAAGAAGGAUAGUGAGUUUUUAUGAAUAGAAAAUAAUAUUUGGUUGGGGUUUGGUGAGGUUAGGUGGUGUUAGCUAACCUGGAUAGCCCAUUUGAGGUGUCCACCCAUUUUUUAGGGUGUUUGGAGAUAAUAUGGGGGUACGUUUGGUUUCACGUAAAACUGUAAAAAAAAAUUUUGAAGAAAAAUUAAAUUUUAUGCUCUCUAGUGUUUGAUUUAUAAGAAAAAAAAAUUGUUAUGAUUGUUUGGUUGAAAGAAAAAUUAUAAAUAGAAAAUUAUUAUAUAUAAAUAUUUUUUUAUUGUAUAUAUUAUAUAUUAUUGAUAUAUAAUAAUUAUCAUAUUACAUAUAUUAGUAUUAUAGUUUAUAUUUAUAAAUAAAAUAUAUUAAAAAUACAUUAUAUAAUAAAUAUAUUAUAUAAUAUAUAAUAAUAUAUAUUUAAUAUGUAAUAUAAAAAAUAAAUUACUAAAUAUUUAUAUAUCUAUAUAUAGAAGCAUAUAGGAAUUUCGAUAAUGACAGACAGAAUUAAAAAAGGAAUAAAAAAUAUUUUCUAUAUUUUCUACGAACGGAUACGAACGGGUAUGACCACUUAAUUAAAAAAAAUUUAAAUAAGAACGAACGGUUAUGAUUAAUUUGUUAAAAAAUAACAUUUUUAUCAAUCUAUAAAGAAAUUCCUAUAUGCUUCUAAAAAUAUUCCAUAUAUUUUCUACAAAUAAGUAUGAUCAUUUAAUUAAAAAAAUCUAAAAUAAGAAUGAACGGUUAUGAUUAAUCUGUUAAAAAAUAGCAUUCUUAUUCAUUUAUAAAUUUAAUCUUACGACGGUUAUGUCAAUUAAAAAUGAUCGGUUCACUUAAUUAAAAAAUCCUCAAAUAAGAACGAACGGUUAUGAUUAAUCUGUUAAAAAAUAGCAUUCUUAUCCAAAAAUUUUAAUUAUAGUGGAUCAAAAUUAAAUUUUAAAUUUUAAAAUAAAUAUAAAUUAAAU
RNAcentral lists this long non-coding RNA (1204 nucleotides) under Ananas comosus (pineapple). Its description in RNAcentral is "long non-coding RNA (ACOM_LNC010798)". The record is from RNAcentral. Lineage: Eukaryota; Viridiplantae; Streptophyta; Magnoliopsida; Poales; Bromeliaceae.